ACCUGGUAUGGCCGCGUCGGCAACGCGCAUUCCAUCGAACUCUUGCCAAACAAUCGAAUCGCGGUCGCCGGUUCGACUCACGAAUCCGGCAACCGGGUA
This 99-nucleotide transfer RNA is filed under the name Verrucomicrobiia bacterium. Its description in RNAcentral is "tRNA-OTHER". Lineage: Bacteria; Pseudomonadati; Verrucomicrobiota; Verrucomicrobiia. The record is from RNAcentral.